AACCUCCGCAAUGUACGAAAGUGCGACGGGGGGAUCCCAAGUGUUAUGCUUUUUUGUAUAACUUUUCAUUAGUGUAAAAAGCUUUUAGAAUAAGAGCUGGGCAAGACCGGUGCCAGCCGCCGCGGUAACACCGGCAGCUCGAGUGGUAGCUGUUUUUAUUGGGCCUAAAGCGUUCGUAGCCGGUUUGAUAAGUCUUUGGUGAAAGCUUGUAGCUUAACUAUAAGAAUUGCUGGAGAUACUAUCAGACUUGAAGUCGGGAGAGGUUAGAGGUACUACCGGGGUAGGGGUGAAAUCCUAUAAUCCUGGGAGGACCACCUGUGGCGAAGGCGUCUAACUGGAACGAUCUUGACGGUGAGUAACGAAAGCCAGGGGCGCGAACCGGAUUAGAUACCCGGGUAGUCCUGGCCGUAAACGAUGUGGACUUGGUGUUGGAAUGGCUUUGAGUUGUUCCGGUGCCGAAGGGAAGCUGUUAAGUCCACCGCCUGGGAAGUACGGUCGCAAGAUAGAAACUUAAAGGGAAU
RNAcentral lists this ribosomal RNA (521 nucleotides) under uncultured bacterium. RNAcentral's name for it is "bacterial SSU rRNA". It matches the Rfam family "Archaeal small subunit ribosomal RNA", at positions 345 to 866 of the family's 1478-position model. The record is from RNAcentral.